RNAcentral lists this ribosomal RNA (253 nucleotides) under uncultured bacterium. Its description in RNAcentral is "partial 16S ribosomal RNA". It matches the Rfam family "Bacterial small subunit ribosomal RNA", at positions 524 to 776 of the family's 1533-position model. The record is from RNAcentral.
UACGAAGGGUGCAAGCGCUACUCGGAAUUACUGGGCGUAAAGCGUGCGUAGGCGGUUUGUUAAGUCUGUCGUGAAAGCCCUGGGCUCAACCUGGGAAUUGCGAUGGAUACUGGCAAGCUAGAGUACGGUAGAGGAUGGUGGAAUUCCCGGUGUAGCGGUGAAAUGCGUAGAGAUCGGGAGGAACACCCGUGGCGAAGGCGGCCAUCUGGACCAGUACUGACGCUGAGGCACGAAAGCGUGGGGAGCAAACAGG